This 693-nucleotide ribosomal RNA is filed under the name Tripospermum myrti. Its description in RNAcentral is "eukaryotic LSU rRNA". It matches the Rfam family "Eukaryotic large subunit ribosomal RNA", at positions 151 to 871 of the family's 3401-position model. The record is from RNAcentral. Lineage: Eukaryota; Fungi; Ascomycota; Dothideomycetes; Mycosphaerellales; Neodevriesiaceae.
GUAGAGGAUGCUUCUGGGCAGCCUCCGGUCUAAGUUCCUUGGAACAGGACGUCAUAGAGGGUGAGAAUCCCGUAUGCGACCGGUCGGCACCCUCCACGUAGCUCCUUCGACGAGUCGAGUUGUUUGGGAAUGCAGCUCUAAAUGGGAGGUAAAUUUCUUCUAAAGCUAAAUACCGGCCAGAGACCGAUAGCGCACAAGUAGAGUGAUCGAAAGAUGAAAAGCACUUUGGAAAGAGAGUUAAAAAGCACGUGAAAUUGUUGAAAGGGAAGCGCUUGCAACCAGACUUGCCUGCGGUGUUCAGCCGGUCUUCUGACCGGUCCAUUCGCCGCCUGCAGGCCAGCAUCAUCUGCGGCCGCCGGAUAAAGGUGGUGGGAAAGUGGCCCCCUCGGGGGUGUUAUAGCCCACCUCAGAAUACGGCGCGUCGCGGGUGAGGUCCGCGCUUCGGCCAGGAUGCUGGCGUAAUGGUUGUAAGCGGCCCGUCUUGAAACACGGACCAAGGAGUCUAACAUCUAUGCGAGUGUUCGGGUGUCAAACCCCUACGCGUAAUGAAAGUGAACGGAGGUGGGAACUUUUUGUGCACCAUCGACCGAUCUUGAUGUCUUCGGAUGGAUUUGAGUAAGAGCAUAGCUGUUGGGACCCGAAAGAUGGUGAACUAUGCCUGAAUAGGGUGAAGCCAGAGGAAACUCUGGUGGA